This 862-nucleotide small RNA is filed under the name Pan troglodytes (chimpanzee). RNAcentral describes it as "retained intron". The record is from RNAcentral. Lineage: Eukaryota; Metazoa; Chordata; Mammalia; Primates; Hominidae.
UCCAGGUGUGGCCUCUGGAACCUGACUCCGUUAGGACGAACAUCUGCCCCUUCAGGGAGGACCCCCGCGCACACCGGAACCUCUGGCAAGCCGCCCGGCUGCGACUGCUGACCCUGCAGAGCUGGCUGCUGGACGCACCGUGCUGGCUGCCCGCAGAAGCGGCACUGUGCUGGCGGGCUCCGGGUGGGGACCCCUGCCAGCCACUGGUCCCACCGCUUUCCUGGGAGAAUGUCACUGUGGACAAAGUUCUCGAGUUCCCAUUGCUGAAAGGCCACCCUAACCUCUGUGUUCAGGUGAACAGCUCGGAGAAGCUGCAGCUGCAGGAGUGCUUGUGGGCUGACUCCCUGGGGCCUCUCAAAGAUGAUGUGCUACUGUUGGAGACACGAGGCCCCCAGGACAACAGAUCCCUCUGUGCCUUGGAACCCAGUGGCUGUACUUCACUACCCAGCAAAGCCUCCACGAGGGCAGCUCGCCUUGGAGAGUACUUACUACAAGACCUGCAGUCAGGCCAGUGUCUGCAGCUAUGGGAUGAUGACUUGGGAGCACUAUGGGCCUGCCCCAUGGACAAAUACAUCCACAAGCGCUGGGCCCUCGUGUGGCUGGCCUGCCUACUCUUUGCCGCUGCGCUUUCCCUCAUCCUCCUUCUCAAAAAGGAUCACGCGAAAGCGGCCGCCAGGGGCCGCGCGGCUCUGCUCCUCUACUCAGCCGAUGACUCGGGCUUCGAGCGCCUGGUGGGCGCCCUGGCGUCGGCCCUGUGCCAGCUGCCGCUGCGCGUGGCCGUAGACCUGUGGAGCCGUCGUGAACUGAGCGCGCAGGGGCCCGUGGCUUGGUUUCACGCGCAGCGGCGCCAGACCCUGCAGGA